Molecule: ribosomal RNA, 838 nt
Filed under: uncultured archaeon
Lineage: Archaea
Description: bacterial SSU rRNA
Rfam family: Archaeal small subunit ribosomal RNA
Source: RNAcentral
AGGUCACUGCUAUCGGUGUUCGUCUAAGCCAUGCGAGUCAUAUGUUCUUCGUGAACAUGGCGUACUGCUCAGUAACACGUGGAUAACCUGCCCUUGGGUCUGGCAUAACCCCGGGAAACUGGGGAUAAUACCGGAUAACGCAUAUCUGCUGGAAUUCUUUAUGCGUGAAAUGGAUUCGUCUGCCCAAGGAUGGGUCUCGGCCUAUCAGGUAGUAGUGGGUGUAAUGUACCUACUAGCCGACGACGGGUACGGGUUGUGAGAGCAAGAGCCCGGAGAUGGAUUCUGAGACAUGAAUCCAGGCCCUACGGGGCGCAGCAGGCGCGAAAACUUUACAAUGCGGGAGACCGUGAUAAGGGGACACCGAGUGCCAGCAUUAUAUGUUGGCUGUCCGGGUGUGUAAAAUACACCUGUUAGCAAGGGCCGGGCAAGACCGGUGCCAGCCGCCGCGGUAACACCGGCGGCCCGAGUGGUGAUCGUGUUUAUUGGGUCUAAAGGGUCCGUAGCCGGUUUGGUCAGUCCUCCGGGAAAUCUGACGGCUCAACCGUUAGGCUUUCGGGGGAUACUGCCAGACUUGGAACCGGGAGAGGUAAGAGGUACUACAGGGGUAGGAGUGAAAUCUUGUAAUCCCUGUGGGACCACCUGUGGCGAAGGCGUCUUACCAGAACGGGUUCGACGGUGAGGGACGAAAGCUGGGGGCACGAACCGGAUUAGAUACCCGGGUAGUCCCAGCCGUAAACGAUGCUCGCUAGGUGUCAGGCAUGGCGCGACCGUGUCUGGUGCCGCAGGGAAGCCGUGAAGCGAGCCACCUGGGAAGUACGGCCGCAAGGCUGAAACUUAA